GCCCCCAAGCUCAGGUGUUAGGAAGUCUUAGGAGAGUGACGUCGCAGUCCGCAGAGGUCAGGCAUGGAGAGCCCGCAGGUGUCUGCUGUCUGUAGUCACCCUCACUUCACCCCUAGAUGUGACCGAGUAUUUUUUUUCCAGCCUGUGGGGGGUUGGGAGGAGGAGUUGUGGCUAUCAGCAUGGCCUCCUUGCUGCAGGUCUGGAGCUGCAUGCUCUCAGUUCUCUUCUUCUCUGUGGCAUGAGCUAAGCCCCAUGGGCUUCUGGGUAGACUGCGCAGAGGAGGGCAGUGGACACCCUAAGUCAGGGAACUGGGGCCCGGGACACAUAGCUGGGUGCUACCCCAGGGAAGACUGCCCCUCUUGCAGUUGAGAACCUUUGUGACAGCAAAUGAGGAGCUAGAAGACAGACAGACAGACAGACAGACAGACAGACAGACAGACAGACAGAAAACAAACCACCAUGAGUGACUAGGUAUGUGACCUGCGCUCAGUAUGUGACCAAAGUCAAGGCUUCCUAUAUGACCAGGGCCAGGGCCAUAUAGUGUAUAAGCAUCAUCAGGGCUCCAGAUGUGAGCAGGGUUGGGUCUAAGCCCUGAGCUGGUGGUGGCUUUCUCCCUGACGGACUGCAGCAUCCGCAUGGUCUCCAAGCUGGACACUCCCUCGUUUUUCUUGCACUCUCAGAAUAGU
This 686-nucleotide long non-coding RNA is filed under the name Rattus norvegicus (Norway rat). RNAcentral's name for it is "long non-coding RNA NONRATT026018". The record is from RNAcentral. Lineage: Eukaryota; Metazoa; Chordata; Mammalia; Rodentia; Muridae.